UCACUCCCAACCCCUGUGACAUACCAAUUGUUGCCUCGGCGGAUCAGCCCGCUCCCGGUAAAACGGGACGGCCCGCCAGAGGACCCCUAAACUCUGUUUCUAUAUGUAACUUCUGAGUAAAACCAUAAAUAAAUCAAAACUUUCAACAACGGAUCUCUUGGUUCUGGCAUCGAUGAAGAACGCAGCAAAAUGCGAUAAGUAAUGUGAAUUGCAGAAUUCAGUGAAUCAUCGAAUCUUUGAACGCACAUUGCGCCCGCCAGUAUUCUGGCGGGCAUGCCUGUUCGAGCGUCAUUUCAACCCUCAAGCCCCCGGGUUUGGUGUUGGGGAUCGGCGAGCCUCACGGCAAGCCGGCCCCGAAAUACAGUGGCGGUCUCGCUGCAGCUUCCAUUGCGUAGUAGUAAAACCCUCGCAACUGGUACGCGGCGCGGCCAAGCCGUUAAACCCCCAACUUCUGAAUGUUGACCUCGGAUCAGGUAGGAAUACCCGCUGAACUUAAGCAUAUCAAUAAGCGGAGGAA
This 517-nucleotide ribosomal RNA is filed under the name Fusarium thapsinum. Its description in RNAcentral is "eukaryotic LSU rRNA". The stretch from base 138 to 291 matches the Rfam family "5.8S ribosomal RNA". Lineage: Eukaryota; Fungi; Ascomycota; Sordariomycetes; Hypocreales; Nectriaceae. The record is from RNAcentral.